RNAcentral lists this unclassified non-coding RNA (338 nucleotides) under soil metagenome. RNAcentral describes it as "partial contains 5.8S ribosomal RNA, internal transcribed spacer 2, and large subunit ribosomal RNA". The stretch from base 1 to 120 matches the Rfam family "5.8S ribosomal RNA", at positions 35 to 154 of the family's 154-position model. The record is from RNAcentral.
GAUGAAGAACGCAGCGAAAUGCGAUAAGUAAUGUGAAUUGCAGAAUUCAGUGAAUCAUCGAAUCUUUGAACGCACAUUGCGCCCGCCAGUAUUCUGGCGGGCAUGCCUGUCCGAGCGUCAUUUCAACCAUCAAGCCCCCGGGCUUGUGUUGGGGACCUGCGGCUGCCCGCAGGCCCUGAAAACCAGUGGCGGGCUCGCUGUCACACCGAGCGUAGUAGCAAUCACCUCGCUCAGGGCGUGCUGCGGGUUCCGGCCGUUAAACCACCCUUUUAACCCAAGGUUGACCUCGGAUCAGGUAGGAAGACCCGCUGAACUUAAGCAUAUCAAUAAGCGGAGGA